CUACGGGCCGCAGCAGUGGGGAAUCUUAGACAAUGGGCGCAAGCCUGAUCUAACCAUGCCGCGUGAGUGACGAAGGCCUUAGGGUCGUAAAGCUCUUUCGCUGGGGAAGAUAAUGACGGUACCCAGUAAAGAAACCCCGGCUAACUCCGUGCCAGCAGCCGCGGUAAUACGGAGGGGGUUAGCGUUGUUCGGAAUUACUGGGCGUAAAGCGCGCGUAGGCGGAUCAGAAAGUUGGGGGUGAAAUCCCGGGGCUCAACCCCGGAACUGCCUUCAAAACUCCUGGUCUUGAGUUCGAGAGAGGUGAGUGGAAUUCCGAGUGUAGGGGUGAAAUUCGUAGAUAUUCGGAGGAACACCAGUGGCGAAGGCGGCUCACUGGCUCGAUACUGACGCUGAGGUGCGAAAGCGUGGGGAGCAAACAGGAUUAGAUACCCCCGUAGUC
This 439-nucleotide ribosomal RNA is filed under the name uncultured bacterium. Its description in RNAcentral is "partial 16S ribosomal RNA". It matches the Rfam family "Bacterial small subunit ribosomal RNA", at positions 339 to 795 of the family's 1533-position model. The record is from RNAcentral.